UAUAAAAUAAAUUACCUUAGGGAUAACAGCGUAAUUUUUCUUAAAAGUUCUUAUUGAAAGGAAAGUUUGCGACCUCGAUGUUGGAUUAAAAUUAAUUUUUGGUGCAGUAACUUAAAAAUUGGGUCUGUUCGACCUUUAAAAUUUUACAUGAUCUGAGUUUAAACCGGUGUGAGCCAGGUUGGAUUCUAUCUUUAGAUUGUUAAUAUAUUUUAGUACGAAAGGACCAAAUAUAUAUUAAAUUGAUU
RNAcentral lists this ribosomal RNA (245 nucleotides) under Microtrichalus sp. BM0077. RNAcentral's name for it is "partial 16S ribosomal RNA". The stretch from base 1 to 190 matches the Rfam family "Bacterial large subunit ribosomal RNA", at positions 2452 to 2642 of the family's 2925-position model. The record is from RNAcentral. Lineage: Eukaryota; Metazoa; Arthropoda; Insecta; Coleoptera; Lycidae.